RNAcentral lists this non-coding RNA (77 nucleotides) under Azotobacter vinelandii. The record is from RNAcentral. Lineage: Bacteria; Pseudomonadati; Pseudomonadota; Gammaproteobacteria; Pseudomonadales; Pseudomonadaceae.
UUGGGCCCUGUGCGAUGAAAGUCGCACGCACGGUUCCUGGAGGGAUGGACCGAUGGCCCGUCCCUGCCCGACUUCGC